RNAcentral lists this ribosomal RNA (765 nucleotides) under bacterium enrichment culture. RNAcentral's name for it is "bacterial SSU rRNA". It matches the Rfam family "Bacterial small subunit ribosomal RNA", at positions 28 to 772 of the family's 1533-position model. The record is from RNAcentral.
AUUGAACGCUGGCGGCAUGCCUAACACAUGCAAGUCGAACGGCAGCAUGAGGUGUAGCAAUACACCUUGAUGGCGAGUGGCGGACGGGUGAGGAAUCCAUCGGAAUCUGCCCAGUCGUGGGGGACAACGCAGGGAAACUUGCGCUAAUACCGCAUACGACCUUCGGGUGAAAGCAGGGGAUCUUCGGACCUUGCGCGAUUGGAUGAGCCGAUGCCGGAUUAGCUAGUUGGCGGGGUAAUGGCCCACCAAGGCGACGAUCCGUAGCUGGUCUGAGAGGAUGAUCAGCCACACUGGGACUGAAACACGGCCCAAACUCCUACGGGAGGCAGCAGUGGGGAAUAUUGGACAAAUGGGGGCAACCCCUGAUCCAGCAAAUGCCGCCGUGGGGUGAAGAAGGCCUUCGGGGUUGUAAAGCACUUUUAUCGGGGAACGAAACAUUUGUCGGGCCAAUACCCGGGCAAAGACUGACGGUACCCGAGGAAUAAGCACCGGCUAACUCCGUGCCAGCAGCCGCGGUAAUACCGGAGGGUGCAAGCGUAAUCGGAUUUACUGGGCGUAAAGCGUGCCGCAGGCGGUUUGUUAAGUCUGCUUGUGAAAUCCUCGAGCUCAACUUGGAAUUGCAGUGAUACUGGCAAGCUGAGUACGGUAGAGGAAGGUGAAUUCCCGGUGUAGCAGUGAAAUGCGUAGAAGAUCGGGAGGAAACACAAGUGGCGAAGGCGCCUUCUGAACAGUACUGACGCUCAUGCAAGAAAGCGUGGGAGCAAA